Molecule: long non-coding RNA, 741 nt
Filed under: Serinus canaria (Common canary)
Lineage: Eukaryota; Metazoa; Chordata; Aves; Passeriformes; Fringillidae
Description: lncRNA (ENSSCAG00000001846.1)
Source: RNAcentral
CCAUGGGGAUCUGGGGGCUCCCAAAGGGAUCCAGGGAUUCCAGAGAUCCCCUGGGAUCACCAGGGAGGGGAGAAUUUUCCUGGGAUUUUGGGGGAUUUGGGGGAAAAAUCAGCUCGGCGGGGGGGGAGGCCUUUCCUGGAUUUCCCCUGAUUUUCCCAAAUUUUUUUUUGCUUUUUCCCCAAUUUUUUUUUCCCAUUUUUUUUCCCAUUUUUCCCCAUUUUCCCAGCCUCCCCUCCCCCAUCUCCCUUCCCAAAUUUCCCCAAAUUCCCGGGCUGGGCUCAGGCUUUGCUGGGAAAGGCUCUGGGGGGGUUUGGGGGUCCCCAGCCCCACCCCAGCCCCUUCUCCUGAGCCAAAUUCCCAAAUUUCUGCAGCCCAAGCUGACCCCGCAGGAGAAGCUCCGGCUCAGGAUGCAGAAGGCUCUCAACAGGCAGUGUGAGCGUGCCCAAAUCCCCCAAAUUCCUCAAAAUUCCCAAAAAUUCCCACAAAAUUCCCCAAAAUCCCACCUGGAAUUGCUCAAAAUCCGCCCCUAAAUCCAGCCAGGAUCACCUGAAUCUCCUGAAAUUCCCCCAAAAUCCACCCAAAUCCACCCAAAAUUCCCCCCAGAUCCACCCAAAAUUCCCACUAAAUAUCCCGGGAUUCCCAAAAUUCUUCAAAAUUCCUCAAAAUUCCCAAAAAUUCCCACAAAAUUCCCCAAAAUCCCACCUGGAAUUGCUCAAAAUCCGCCCCUAAAUCCAGCCAGGA